This 253-nucleotide ribosomal RNA is filed under the name uncultured bacterium. RNAcentral's name for it is "partial 16S ribosomal RNA". It matches the Rfam family "Bacterial small subunit ribosomal RNA", at positions 524 to 776 of the family's 1533-position model. The record is from RNAcentral.
UACGAAGGGGGCUAGCGUUGCUCGGAAUUACUGGGCGUAAAGCGCACGUAGGCGGCUUUCUAAGUCGGGGGUGAAAUCCUGGAGCUCAACUCCAGAACUGCCUUCGAUACUGGAGAGCUUGAAUCCGGGAGAGGUGAGUGGAAUUCCGGGUGUAGAGGUGAAAUUCGUAGAUAUUCGGAAGAACACCAGUGGCGAAGGCGGCUCACUGGACCGGUAUUGACGCUGAGGUGCGAAAGCGUGGGGAGCAAACAGG